UACGUAGGUGGCAAGCGUUGUCCGGAUUUACUGGGCGUAAAGAGCGCGCAGGCGGUCGACCAAGUCGCGUGUGAAAGCCCCCGGCUCAACUGGGGAGGGUCACGCGAUACUGAUCGACUCGAAGGCAGGGGAGGGUAGUGGAAUUCCCGGUGUAGUGGUGAAAUGCGUAGAUAUCGGGAGGAACACCAGUGGCGAAGGCGACUACCUGGCCUGUUCUUGACGCUGAGGCGCGAAAGCUAGGGGAGCAAACGGG
This 253-nucleotide ribosomal RNA is filed under the name uncultured bacterium. RNAcentral's name for it is "partial 16S ribosomal RNA". It matches the Rfam family "Bacterial small subunit ribosomal RNA", at positions 524 to 776 of the family's 1533-position model. The record is from RNAcentral.